UAUGUUAUUUUCUUCUUAGGAUUUUAUUACGUGACGCCCCAAUAGUCCCAUAUAAGAUUAAAAAAAUAAUUUUAAUUGAAAUAUAUGAGACUUCGCACGCUAAUACUAAUAACAAUAAUAACUAAUCGUAAACAUUUUGGGUUGGUCGAUCGACCCGUUACAUUUGGGCUCAAAGAUGAAUACUAGCUAGAAGUGUGAGAACUAUAAGUGCUAUACCACAGGGUUGGUGGGAACCAUCUCUGUAAUCUCACAUCGCCUGGUAAUUCUGAUCUGUGUUUGUGAUCUACGAUUAGGUCCGGAUCUGAGAGGACUUCGGGAUCUAAACA
This 326-nucleotide long non-coding RNA is filed under the name Ananas comosus (pineapple). RNAcentral's name for it is "long non-coding RNA (ACOM_LNC000861)". The record is from RNAcentral. Lineage: Eukaryota; Viridiplantae; Streptophyta; Magnoliopsida; Poales; Bromeliaceae.